GCCUUGCGGCCCUCGGAAAGAUGCUGAUUUUGAUUCUGAGCAAGAUAAGAAGUCAUUAGAUAAUUUUUGACAAUAUGAUGUCAACUACCUAGUAGGACAAUGGAAAAACAAUAAAACAAGUGAAAAAUGAAAAACAAAAACCACAAGGCCUGUAUCAUAAUGUCAGUGCUAUACUAAUGAAGAGAAAUUGGAAUGAAGGAGAAAUGAAUGCUGGAUUCUAAGAGAGAGAAAAAAUUUCAGGUCAUCUUUACAGCUGCAUAUCGCUUUACCUAUCACCUGCCAGUGCAGACCAACUGAGACAGAGACGGGGGAGAAGGAUUAGGUAAAUAAACACUGA
Suricata suricatta (meerkat) is the source of this 337-nucleotide long non-coding RNA. RefSeq lists it as uncharacterized. The record is from RefSeq and is a predicted model, not a curated record. The transcript has 3 exons. NCBI's taxonomy places the organism in Eukaryota, Metazoa, Chordata, Mammalia, Carnivora, Herpestidae.